Long non-coding RNA from Oxyura jamaicensis (ruddy duck), 159 nucleotides. RefSeq lists it as uncharacterized. Lineage: Eukaryota; Metazoa; Chordata; Aves; Anseriformes; Anatidae. The record is from RefSeq and is a predicted model, not a curated record. The transcript has 3 exons.
AAAUCAAGCAUGCGAACAGCCUUGUACCUCAACGUCGAGGCAGCUGUAGGCAUGAGCUCAUCAGAAAUGAGGACUCCCAGAGGGAGUUUUCAGCACACGUUUCCAGACCUCUGGAAUCAGCACGACAAACUUAAUCGUUUCUGGGCUGCUUACAGCCUC